GGAUUAGAUACCCUGGUAGUCCACGCUGUAAACGAUGGUCACUAGAUGUUCGGCCUUUUAGGCUGAGUGUCCAAGCGAAAGCGAUAAGUGACCCACCUGGGGAGUACGUUCGCAAGAAUGAAACUCAAAGGAAUUGACGGGGGCCCGCACAAGCGGUGGAGCAUGUGGUUUAAUUCGAUGAUACGCGAGGAACCUUACCUGGGCUACAAUGCCUUUGCUACCCCCGGAAACGGGGUUUUCCUUCGGGACAAAGUGCAAGGUGCUGCAUGGUUGUCGUCAGCUCGUGCCG
RNAcentral lists this ribosomal RNA (289 nucleotides) under uncultured bacterium. Its description in RNAcentral is "partial 16S ribosomal RNA". It matches the Rfam family "Bacterial small subunit ribosomal RNA", at positions 775 to 1067 of the family's 1533-position model. The record is from RNAcentral.